Molecule: ribosomal RNA, 219 nt
Filed under: uncultured gamma proteobacterium CHAB-XI-9
Lineage: Bacteria; Pseudomonadati; Pseudomonadota; Gammaproteobacteria
Description: partial 16S ribosomal RNA
Rfam family: Bacterial small subunit ribosomal RNA
Source: RNAcentral
GGAGUCUGCAACUCGACUCCAUGAAGUCGGAAUCGCUAGUAAUCGCAGGUCAGAAUACUGCGGUGAAUACGUUCCCGGGCCUUGUACACACCGCCCGUCACACCAUGGGAGUGGGAUGCAAAAGAAGUAGUUAGUUUAACCUUCGGGAGAACGAUUACCACUUUGUGUUUCAUGACUGGGGUGAAGUCGUAACAAGGUAACCCUAGGGGAACCUGGGGU